This 327-nucleotide long non-coding RNA is filed under the name Olea europaea (common olive). RNAcentral's name for it is "long non-coding RNA (OEUR_LNC004447)". The record is from RNAcentral. Lineage: Eukaryota; Viridiplantae; Streptophyta; Magnoliopsida; Lamiales; Oleaceae.
UUGUCUGAUGUUACAAAUUAAUCAUCAAUUGCCUUCAGCAAUUCUCGAACAUUGUCGUAUUGCUCGACAGAACCCCUAAUCCCAGCAGAUAUUUUGGUUUUUAUGAACAUGACUGAAAGGCGAUUAGAUCGCUCCCAUUUUUCAUAAAGAUCAACUUGGUCUGGAAUGCUGGUUUCAGUAAUUUUAGGUGGUUCGUCUUUCCUAAUAGCAUAGUCAAUGUCCAUCCACCCUAAGUGAAGGAGAAUCCUUUCCUUCCAAACCUUAUAGUUGUCACCCUUAAGUUCAGGAACAUCGCAUUUCAUAUCAGAGAAAUUAAUUGGUUGAAUA